This is a non-coding RNA of Taeniopygia guttata (zebra finch), 701 nucleotides long. Lineage: Eukaryota; Metazoa; Chordata; Aves; Passeriformes; Estrildidae. The record is from RefSeq and is a predicted model, not a curated record.
CCCGCGGGGUCCCGCCCCGCCCCGCCCGGGACAGCGCGGCCUCCGCCGGCACCGCCGCCGCUCCGGGCGCCCUCGGGUAAGGAGGGCGGCUGGCGAGGCAGAGCGGGCAGGGGGAAGGCAGCCAGCUCUCCAUCCAGCACGGUGUAUCCUCACAUAGGCAGCGCCGUGGCGGGGCCUGAGGGGGAGAGGCGGGCGCCCCUCCCUCAGCCCGCCCCUCCCUCGGUGGUCUCACCUGGCCGGGUCGCGGGGGAAGCGGAAGAAGGCCAGGAGGAUGUUGUUACUCUGCAGCCUGAUGGAUAAUCCCACACAGAAUCACUGAAUCAAUUAGGUUGGAAAAGACUUCUGCAAUCACUGAGUCCAGCCUAUGACGGAUCAUAACCUUGUCAACUAUACCAGAGCACCUCCAGGCUAUCUUAAACAUCUCCAGGGAUGAUGACCCUACCACCUCCCUUUGCAGACCCUUCCAAUAUCUAAUCACCCUUUCUGUGAAAAAAAUUCCUCCUGAUGUACAAUCUAAACCUUCCCUGGCACAGCUUAAGACCCUGUCUUCUCAUCCUGUUGCUGGUUGCUUGGGAGAAGAGGCCAAUCCCCACCUGGCUAAAACUCCUUUCAGGUAGUCAAAGAAGUAAUGGUAAAAGCCACAAGCUUUUUAAGUAAUGAAAUAAUUAGAUAGAGGUUGUACUGGUCAGAAGCCAUUAUUA